AUUGAACGCUGGCGGCAGGCCUAACACAUGCAAGUCGAGCGGAUGAAGGGAGCUUGCUCCUGGAUUCAGCGGCGGACGGGUGAGUAAUGCCUAGGAAUCUGCCUGGUAGUGGGGGAUAACGUCCGGAAACGGGCGCUAAUACCGCAUACGUCCUGAGGGAGAAAGUGGGGGAUCUUCGGACCUCACGCUAUCAGAUGAGCCUAGGUCGGAUUAGCUAGUUGGUGGGGUAAAGGCCUACCAAGGCGACGAUCCGUAACUGGUCUGAGAGGAUGAUCAGUCAAAUGGGAACUGAGAAACGGGCCAGCCCCCUACGGGGGGCAGCAGGGGGGAAUAUUGGAAAAUGGGCGAAAGCCUGACCCAGCCAUGCCGGGGUGGGGAAGAAGGGCUUCGGUUUGUAAAGCAUUUUAAGUGGGGAGGAAGGGCAGUAAGUUAAUACCUGGCUUUUUUGACGUUACCAAAAAAAUGAGCACCGGCUAACUUCGU
Molecule: ribosomal RNA, 483 nt
Filed under: uncultured bacterium
Lineage: Bacteria
Description: partial 16S ribosomal RNA
Rfam family: Bacterial small subunit ribosomal RNA
Source: RNAcentral